Molecule: ribosomal RNA, 500 nt
Filed under: uncultured bacterium
Lineage: Bacteria
Description: bacterial SSU rRNA
Rfam family: Bacterial small subunit ribosomal RNA
Source: RNAcentral
AUGGCUCAGGAUGAACGCUGGCGGCGUGCCUAACACAUGCAAGUCGAACGGACCUUAUAAUGACAGAGACUUCGGUCGACGAAGUUUAAGGUUAGUGGCGGACGGGUGAGUAACGCGUGGAGAACCUGCCCUGUACUGGGGGAUAACAGUGAGAAAUUACUGCUAAUACCGCAUAAGCGCACGGGACCGCAUGGUCCUGAGUGAAAAACUCCGGUGGUACAGGAUGGCUCCGCGUUGGAUUAGCCAGUUGGCGGGGUAACGGCCCACCAAAGCGACGAUCCAUAGCCGGCCUGAGAGGGUGAACGGCCACAUUGGGACUGAGACACGGCCCAGACUCCUACGGGAGGCAGCAGUGGGGAAUAUUGCACAAUGGGGGGAACCCUGAUGCCAGCGACGCCGCGUGAAGGAAGAAGUAUCUCGGUAUGUAAACUUCUAUCAGCAGGGAAGAAAAUGACGGUACCUGACUAAGAAGCCCCGGCUAACUACGUGCCAGCCGCAGC